GCCAGGUGUAGUGGUGCACACCUGUAAUCCCAGGGACUCAGGAGGCUGAGGCAGGAGGAUCUCAAGUUGGAGGCCAAUCUGAGCAAUUUAGCAAAACUGUCUCAA
RNAcentral lists this small RNA (105 nucleotides) under Marmota monax (woodchuck). The record is from RNAcentral. Lineage: Eukaryota; Metazoa; Chordata; Mammalia; Rodentia; Sciuridae.